GACGAACGCUGGCGGCGUGCUUAACACAUGCAAGUCGAACGGAAAGGCCCUGCUUUUGUGGGGUGCUCGAGUGGCGAACGGGUGAGUAACACGUGAGUAACCUGCCCUUGACUUUGGGAUAACUUCAGGAAACUGGGGCUAAUACCGGAUAGGAGCUCCUGAUGCGCGGUGGGGGUUGGAAAGUUUCGGCGGUUGGGGAUGGACUCGCGGCUUAUGAGCUUGUUGGUGGGGUAGGGGCUUACCAAGGCUUUGACGGGUAGCCGGCCUGAGAGGGUGACCGGCCACAUUGGGACUGAGAGACGGCGCAGACUCCUACGGGAGGCAGCAGUGGGGAAUAUUGCACAAUGGGCGGAAGCCUGAUGCAGCAACGCCGCGUGCGGGAUGACGGCCUUCGGGUUGUAAACCGCUUUCGCCGGUGACGAAGCGUGAGUGACGGUAAUGGGUAAAGAAGCACCGGCUAACUACGUG
Molecule: ribosomal RNA, 468 nt
Filed under: uncultured bacterium
Lineage: Bacteria
Description: partial 16S ribosomal RNA
Rfam family: Bacterial small subunit ribosomal RNA
Source: RNAcentral